Molecule: ribosomal RNA, 992 nt
Filed under: uncultured archaeon
Lineage: Archaea
Description: bacterial SSU rRNA
Rfam family: Archaeal small subunit ribosomal RNA
Source: RNAcentral
AUUCCGGUGAUCCUGCCGGAGGUCACUGCUAUCGGAGUACGACUUAGCCAUGCGAGUCACAGGGACUUCGGUCACUGGCGUACGGCUCAGUAACACGUGGGCAACCUACCCUCAGGACAGGCAUAACCCCGGGAAACUGGGGCUAAUCCCUGAUAGGCACCCUCAACUGGAAUGUGUCGGUGUCGAAAGCUCCGGCGCCUGAGGAUGGGCCUGCGGCCGAUUAGGUUGUUGGCGGGGUAACAGCCCACCAAGCCGACGAUCGGUACGGGCAGUGAGAGCUGUAGCCCGGAGAUGGGGACUGAGACAAGGCCCCAGGCCCUACGGGGCGCAGCAGGCGCGAAACCUUCACAAUGCUCGAAAGAGUGAUGAGGGUACUCCGAGUGCCAGUGCUUAGCACUGGCUUUUCUGCAGCGUAAAUAGUUGAAGGAAUAAGGGCUGGGCAAGACCGGUGCCAGCCGCCGCGGUAACACCGGCAGCCCUAGUGGUGACCGCUUUUAUUGGGCCUAAAGCGUUCGUAGCCGGGCCGGUAAGUCCUUGGGUAAAUCCUGCGUCUCAAGCGCGGGAAUUCUAAGGAUACUACUGGCCUUGAGGCCGGGAUAGGCGAGAGGUACUCCCGGGGUAGGGGUAAAAUCCUAUAAUCCUGGGGGGACCACCGAUGGCGAAGGCAUCUCGCUGGAACGGGCCUGACGGUGAGGGACGAAACCCAGGGGAGCGAGCCGGAUUAGAUACCCGGGUAGUCCUGGGCGUAAAUGACGUGGGCUUGGUGUGAGCGCAUCGACGAGGUGCGCUUGUGCCGGAGGGAAGCCGUUAAGCCCACCGCCUGGGGAGUACGGUCGCAAGGCUGAAACUUAAAGGAAUUGGCGGGGGAGCACUACAAGGGGUGGAGGCUGCGGUUUAAUUGGAUUCAACGCCGGGAAACUCACUGGGAGCGACAGCAGUAUGACGGCCAGGUUGAUGACCUUGCCCGACGAGCUGAGAGGUGGUGCAUGGCC